This 269-nucleotide non-coding RNA is filed under the name Clostridium sp. BL8. Its description in RNAcentral is "Bacterial small subunit ribosomal RNA". It matches the Rfam family "Bacterial small subunit ribosomal RNA", at positions 1 to 271 of the family's 1533-position model. Lineage: Bacteria; Bacillati; Bacillota; Clostridia; Eubacteriales; Clostridiaceae. The record is from Rfam by way of RNAcentral.
UAAAUUGAGAGUUUGAUCCUGGCUCAGGACGAACGCUGGCGGCGUGCCUAACACAUGCAAGUCGAGCGAUGAAGCCCUUCGGGGCUGAUUAGCGGCGGACGGGUGAGUAACACGUGGGUAACCUGCCUCAUAGAGGGGGAUAGCCUCCCGAAAGGGAGAUUAAUACCGCAUAAUAUAUUUUGGUUGCAUGACCGAAAUAUCAAAGGAGUAAUCCGCUAUGAGAUGGACCCGCGGCGCAUUAGCUAGUUGGUGAGGUAAGGGCUCACCGA